AUGUCGGAGUUAGUUAUGAAUAAAGAAGAGAAAUUGAUCAAAUCGGAAAAUACAAUGAAGUUGCAACACUUCCAUCAUGAAGUUGCAACGCUCCGACGAAAGGUGGCGUACGAGCAGAGCGGAGUGAAGUCGGGGGAGUCACUACAGAGUCGUCGUGUCGAGCGGACGUGCACUGCCGUUAUAGUCGGACAGUCUACCGCGAACCAUCGUCGUGAACGGACGUGUCGAAUAAUUACGAUCGGAACGUGGAGUGAUAUAGUCGCUCACCUAUAACUUGUAGGGACGUCAAGAAAGUGUGAUCGGAAAAGAGUACCUCGCACGUACGUUCACAUGUCCCGAUGAUUCGGUCCGAAUAUAGGAACCAUGGGUGGUGGAGGGCAAGUAGAGGGCGAGUAGCCCCUUCGCGCGUCCUUAUGCGCGCUAGAUAACGAGAGACUGUGUAACCGUUACGAAUACCGUGACGUUGCCGUGAGUGUGUACCUUAUGCUGUGACUUUAUUUAAUCGUGAUACAAAAACUAUGUGGAAGUAAAUAAAAUGAUUGUGAUACUGAUGACGGCCAUUAUUGUCUUCUAACGCCCACUCUUCUAACGCCCACCCUCCAUUAUGAUGAUGAUGAUGAUGAUGAUGAUGAUGAUGAUGUUACGCGACCGACCCCACUGCUACGACAUCAGAAGCGGGAUUAGUGGACUCGGAUGAAGACAACGUGAUGUGACGUUCACAGCAAGACAAUGCAAGUUUCGAUUAUCACAAUCAGAAGAAGAUUAUGAUGAUUAUCACAUUCGUGUGACCACGUGAUGAAGAUGUAGUGUCAUGCCUGAAUUUGGAGAUGGACCUGACUUUGAAGUGACCUCGACCUUGUUAAUGACCGGCAUCACUACAUGCCGUAAGAUAUGAUGGCGUGAACAUCAACAAUAUUUCCAUAAUGUGUGCAGUCGUGUUUGGAAAUUAUGGUACCUCAACUUGGAAACUGUUAUAACGGUGAGUCGUUUUCAUACUGGAACCUUAUUGUUUUUUUACUUCAUUGCUAUGUGAAUUUUCGUUUCUAAUAAUGAGGAAAUUGAUUUAAAAUUAACUUGGAAAUUACUAUUUCCCUUUGUUUAAAAAGAAAAUUGACGAGACAUAUUGUGUCAAUCCGUGUCAAUCAUACCGCGUUUUCCAAUCUGUUUUCAUCAUUGUCAAAUCUUUGUAUUUUGGUCUAAAAAUAUUUCGAAUUGGUGUAGACACGCUUAACCUGCGUGAUUAAAGUUGUAUUUUCUCACUCCAAGCAAAAAGAAAUUAAUCAUGACAUGAUAAUUGAGUCUCGUUAAAUAACGUGUUUUGUAAUCUACCGUCAUUCAUCAAAUCUUUCAAUAUUCAACAUUCUUUAUUGUAAUCUUUUUAAACUGAUUGAAAGAAAGUCAUGUGAAUACGAUAAUACAGUGAAUUCUUUUGUUUCAUGUCAUAACUUGGUUCGGCAAUUGGUGGAUUGCAAGCGAGGAUGAAAAUGGCGCGGGCUGAGCCGUAGCCGUGUAAAGUGACGACAUCAUGGCAGCACGUUGUAUACCAGCCGGACUUACUGCGCUGGUGCUGUUGACGACCUAAACUAUGUCACAAGACCAGUGGUUGAUCUUUUAUUGGAAAUUCUUAUAAGUCCUGGUGAGUCGUAUCUGUUUUACCUGAUUUGAAAUAUGGGAAGUUGUAAUAAGAUACAAACGAACUUAGUGCAGAAAGUUCUCUUUUACUUUAGUUAAAUUGGAAAUUGUAAUGAAGUGAAGUAAACAUUGCGAAGUAAAAUUAUUUGGAUCAUGAUUAAAUGAAAUAGGCUUAGAAAAUGCCCGAAACAGAGUAAAUCAUUAGUGAGAAAAUUGGAGCAAAACAUUCUAAAUGAUGUUCAUACCAAAUCAGUAAUUGUGUAAGUGCGGUAAUAUUUCCUCAAGGUGUUGGUCGUUACAUUGUGACUUUAUGACUUGUGUGUGAGAGAGCCAGGGUGCUCUGUCGUUUUGUGGUCGUGGACCAAGGUGGCCAUCCCGGGAGGGGAUGUUGUGACUUAUGACUGUUUUGUAGCGUAACCGAAGUUUGGGGAGGAAUAUUACAGCCUGUUGUGCUUUGCAGUAGAUGUGUAAUGUUGGUUGAUUUAAUUGAGCAAUGAAAGCUAUGAUUGACCUGUUUCGGAGCAACUCUGAUAGGAAGCUGCGCACUUGUAGUGUUCGGGGCUGCAGCCACUUUUGUGCUGCUCGUCUUAGAAACUACAGGUAUGCGGUCGAAGCCCGGAUUUCAUGUUGACUUUGUAUUUGGCCAUGACAUUGUACCUGAAUCUAAGUCAUGUUGAACUUCGGUAGAAUUAGUCAAACGAAUUAGAAAUUAGUGAUGUAGAAGAAAUUGUGUAACCCAUUGACCUGUUUCGGAGCAACUCUGGUAGGGAGCUGCGCACUUGUAGUGUUCGGGGCUGCAGCCACUUUUGUGCUGCUCGUCUUAGAAACUACAGGUAUGCGGUCGAGGCCAGGAUGUCAUGUUGACUUUGUAUUUGGUCAUGACAUUGUACCUGAAUCUAAGUCAAGUUGACCUCCGGUAGAAUUAGUCGAACUGCAUAAAUUAGAAAUUAGUGAUAUAAAAGAAAUUGUGUAACGCAUUGACCACUAUUCUACCAACUAAAAUGUAAAGUUUGUGUGCUAGCUGUGUUGAGAUAUCGUCACUUGGUGUAAGUGGCAUGAGUUGCUGUCGCUCGAUUUAGGUGGCAGCAACGACUGUGUUGAGAUAUCGUCACUUGGUGUAAGUGGCAUGAGUUGCUACCGCUCGAUUUAGGUGGUAGUGACGCCUGGUUGUGAGAUAUCGUUACUCAGCUGAUUUUAGUGUAAAGAGUAAUUGGAUUUUCAAGUUUGGUUGUUUAUGUGUGAAUACUGGUCAAUGGUCCGUGUAUUGUUAGUUGAUGAUUUAUCAUGAUGUAAUGUGAGCUCAUGUAGAGUCAAAAGUAGAGCUAAUGUAGAGUCAAAAGUAGAGCUCAUGUAGAGUCAAAAGUAGAGCUCAUGUAGAGUCACAAGUAGAGCUCAUGUAGAGUCACAAGUAGAGCUCAUGUAGAGUCCUUUAUAGAGUCUCAUGUCAGGUCAGGAAUGACCGAGCGACCUUGGAUACUGUGCUGUGGUAUAUUGUUUCAGAUUAACACACGAGGACGUGUGUCACGCAGGAUGGCCGUGUCGGAGUUAGUUAUGAAUAAAGAAGAGAAAUUGAUCAAAUCGGAAAAUACAAUGAAGUUGCAACACUUCCAUCAUGAAGUUGCAACGCUCCGACGAAAGGUGGCGUACGAGCAGAGCGGAGUGAAGUCGGGGGAGUCACUACAGAGUCGUCGUGUCGAGCGGACGUGCACUGCCGUUAUAGUCGGACAGUCUACCGCGAACCAUCGUCGUGAACGGACGUGUCGAAUAAUUACGAUCGGAACGUGGAGUGAUAUAGUCGCUCACCUAUAACUUGUAGGGACGUCAAGAAAGUGUGAUCGGAAAAGAGUACCUCGCACGUACGUUCACAUGUCCCGAUGAUUCGGUCCGAAUAUAGGAACCAUGGGUGGUGGAGGGCAAGUAGAGGGCGAGUAGCCCCUUCGCGCGUCCUUAUGCGCGCUAGAUAACGAGAGACUGUGUAACCGUUACGAAUACCGUGACGUUGCCGUGAGUGUGUACCUUAUGCUGUGACUUUAUUUAAUCGUGAUACAAAAACUAUGUGGAAGUAAAUAAAAUGAUUGUGAUACUGA
RNAcentral lists this long non-coding RNA (3719 nucleotides) under Pectinophora gossypiella (pink bollworm). RNAcentral describes it as "uncharacterized LOC126373919". The record is from RNAcentral. Lineage: Eukaryota; Metazoa; Arthropoda; Insecta; Lepidoptera; Gelechiidae.